RNAcentral lists this ribosomal RNA (495 nucleotides) under uncultured bacterium. Its description in RNAcentral is "partial 16S ribosomal RNA". It matches the Rfam family "Bacterial small subunit ribosomal RNA", at positions 28 to 507 of the family's 1533-position model. The record is from RNAcentral.
GACGAACGCUGGCGGCGUGCCUAAUACAUGCAAGUAGAACGCUGAAGGAGGGGCUUGCUCUUCUGGAUGAGUUGCGAACGGGUGAGUAACGCGUAGGUAACCUGCCUGGUAGCGGGGGAUAACUAUUGGAAACGAUAGCUAAUACCGCAUAAGAGUAGAUGUUGCAUGACAUUUGCUUAAAAGGUGCAAUUGCAUCACUACCAGAUGGACCUGCGUUGUAUUAGCUAGUUGGUGGGGUAACGGCUCACCAAGGCGACGAUACAUAGCCGACCUGAGAGGGUGAUCGGCCACACUGGGACUGAGACACGGCCCAGACUCCUACGGGAGGCAGCAGUAGGGAAUCUUCGGCAAUGGACGGAAGUCUGACCGAGCAACGCCGCGUGAGUGAAGAAGGUUUUCGGAUCGUAAAGCUCUGUUGUAAGAGAAGAACGAGUGUGAGAGUGGAAAGUUCACACUGUGACGGUAUCUUACCAGAAAGGGACGGCUAACUACGUG